Molecule: ribosomal RNA, 500 nt
Filed under: uncultured bacterium
Lineage: Bacteria
Description: bacterial SSU rRNA
Rfam family: Bacterial small subunit ribosomal RNA
Source: RNAcentral
GGGGACAACCAUUGGAAACGAUGGCUAAUACCGAAUAAUAUAACUUUUGCAUAUGCAUGAGUUAUCAAUGGUGGGGACCUUCGGGCCUACCGCCUGAAGAUGAGUCCGCGGCCCAUUAGCUAGUUGGCAGGGUAAUGGCCUACCAAGGCGACGAUGGGUAGCCGGCCUGAGAGGGUGAUCGGCCACAUUGGGACUGAGAUACGGCCCAGACUCCUACGGGAGGCAGCAGUUAAGAAUCUUGCACAAUGGGCGAAAGCCUGAUGCAGCGACGCCGCGUGAAUGAUGAAGGCCUUCGGGUUGUAAAGUUCAAUAAGCAGGGAAGAAUAAGUAAGGUCUAACACGCCUUGCGAUGACGGUACCUGUCUAAAGCCUCGGCUAACUACGUGCCAGCAGCCGCGGUAACACGUAUGAGGCGAGCGUUGUUCGGAAUUAUUGGGCGUAAAGCGCGUGUAGGCGGGGAAUUAAGUUAGGUGUGAAAUCCAAGGGCUCAACCCGUGAAU